CCUACGGGUGGCAGCAGUGAGGAAUAUUGGUCAAUGGGCGCGAGCCUGAACCAGCCAAGUCGCGUGAGGGAAGACGGCCCGACGGGGUGUAAACCUCUUUUGCCGGGGAGCAACGGGCGCCACGUGUGGCGCCACGGAGAGGACCCGGAGAAAAAGCAUGGGCGAACCCCGUGCCAGCAGCCGCGGUAAGACGGAGGAUGGGAGCGUGAUCGGGAUUGAUUGGGUGGAAAGGGUGCGGAGGCGGAGCGUGCAGUCAGGGGUCAAAUUGAGGGGCUCAACCCCCGCCCGCCAUUGAAACUGGCGCUCUUGAGUGGACGAGUGGUCUGCGUAAUGCGUGGUGUAGCGGUGCAAUGCAUAGCUAUCACGC
Molecule: ribosomal RNA, 367 nt
Filed under: uncultured bacterium
Lineage: Bacteria
Description: partial 16S ribosomal RNA
Rfam family: Bacterial small subunit ribosomal RNA
Source: RNAcentral